CUCUCUUUUCGGACUCAGCCCGCCUGCACCCAGGUGAAAUAAACAGCCUUGUUGCUCACACAAAGCCUGUUUGGUGGCCUCUUCACACAGACAUGUGUGACAUUUGGUGCCAAAGACCCAGGACAGGAGGACUCCUUCGGGAGAACGGUCCCCUGUCCUCGCCCUUACUCUGUGAGGAGAUCCACCUAUGACCUCGGGUCCUCAGACCAACCAGCCCAAGGAACAUCUCACCAAUUUCAAAUCAGAUUGGCUCUCCACUCAACCCCUAGAAGCUGAGCCUUUGAGACAGCAUCAGCAAGCUCCUUCCUCCUCUGGCUUCCCCUGGCACCAGCAGGAGGUGACAGGCCGCAGAUCAGAUUGCACUGCCCAAGAAGGAGCCGGCUUGAAGAGCAAGCAAGUUGGGCACCUGAGAUGAGAUCCAGCACUAGGCGUAGAAAAUGAACUCUGCUUGUGCCCCAUGCCCUAGACCAUGGCAUGGCCAGGGUCUGUCCCCAUGUCUGUGUUUCCUAAAGUUGGUGUGCACCCUCCUCAUUAUUCAGCUGUCAUUGCAUUUGCCUGGGAAGACUUCACUUGCAGAGCCCAGAGCAGCCAGCUUAAUAGCUCCUGUGGUGGUUUUUAAAAUAUGUCCACAUGUCCUUGGAGAUGCUUUACAUCAAUUAGUGGAGUCUAAGGCCAGGCGCUGUGGCUCACAUCUGAAAUCCCAGCACUUUGGGAGGCUGAGGUGGGCGGAUCACCUGAGGU
Homo sapiens (human) is the source of this 741-nucleotide long non-coding RNA. RefSeq lists it as uncharacterized. The record is from RefSeq and is a predicted model, not a curated record. The transcript has 3 exons. Lineage: Eukaryota; Metazoa; Chordata; Mammalia; Primates; Hominidae.